Molecule: ribosomal RNA, 254 nt
Filed under: uncultured bacterium
Lineage: Bacteria
Description: partial 16S ribosomal RNA
Rfam family: Bacterial small subunit ribosomal RNA
Source: RNAcentral
UACGGUGGGAGCAAGCGUUGUUCGGAUUUACUGGGCGUAAAGGGCGCGUAGGCGGCCAGCACAAGUCAGUUGUGAAAUCUCCGAGCUUAACUCGGAAAGGUCAACUGAUACUGUGCGGCUAGAGUGCGGAAGGGGCAACUGGAAUUCUUGGUGUAGCGGUGAAAUGCGUAGAUAUCAGGAGGAACACCGGUGGCGAAGGCGGGUCUCUGGGCCGAUACUGACGCUGAGGAGCGAAAGCGUGGGGAGCGAACAGG